GUCCAGCCGACAGGUGGGCCCCACCCAGCUGUCUUCCACCUCCAGUUGGUCUCCCGACCGAGAACGCAACCCGCGCGCGUAUCCUGCGCAUGAUCUCACCGAUCCCUCCGAUCCGUCUGCGAUUCGCUCGCAUACGCACAACCCCGAACAGCCGUCGAUCUCCUCUCUCGAUCCCUUGCCUUGCCUCGCACAACCGAGCAGGGAAUCGAGCGCAGCGACCUUGCGGAUCUUCGCCUCGUCGCCGGUACUUCAUCGACGAAAUUCGUCGCCGCCUAUGCUCGGGUUCGAGCUCCCCAGCCAACCCGAUCUCGUCGGAGCUCCCAUCGCCAGCAGCCCCUCCGCCGGCGAAUUUGGCGCCACCAAGGGAGAGAAUCAAACCUAGCACGCCGAGCUUGCCCGGAGCAAAUCACCGCCACCCGUCGCUCCACCCGUACACUGUCAUCGCCUGACGACGCCCCGUCGUCACUGACCUCACAACCUUCUUCUCCGUCACUCUGCGCACCUGCUGGUCCACCCUCCCAGUCGCCUUGGUCCACCGGAGAGGCCACACCGAGAAACGCCAUAGCCACACCGACAUCGGAGCUCCAAACGCCACUGCAGCGCUAGCAGAGGACGCUCACAUCUCCGUCGAAGCUACCAUCGUCUCCGUCAUCGCAAGCUGCAUCCGCCCGUCACCUCAUCUUCGCCGGAGAGCCACCGGAGGAGCGCCGCCACCCACGCCCGAAGCCGUCGCCGUUUUCCCCCUGCUUCGAUUGCUCGGAGCGUGACUAGUAGAAUUAUCAGGAUUGUGAGUGCGACGAUCUUCAUCCAACGUACCAGCCGGCGGCCUUGAGGAGAGGAGCUCGACGAGCGGGCAGGGUGAUCCCGUGCCUUGGAGACGGCGACCCUCAACCCCUUGCUGCUGUGGUGCACUGGGCACAUCUGUGACGAGGAGGAGGCGAGCCACAAUUCAUCACCUUCCUCGUCUCUCUCAUGGCUGUGCACAAGGAUGUCCGCACCCCGAGCCGAGCUCUGUUUGACCGGAGGACAAGCAGAGGAAAGGCGAACAGGGGUGAUGACAUGGCUCCUGAGCAAGGCCCCUUAUCUUGGGCCCCUACAAUAAGUAAACUCAACAUGCGUGAUUCUGAUUAGAGGCAACCGGAUCGUUAUUGAACAUAUUGAUGAUUCCUGUUGUGUAUUUGGGUGGUGCUCAAAAUGCAGAGCUGAAAAGCAAGAAACGUAAAGCCACCUCUGAAGAUAAGUUCACCAUGCCUCCCAGAGUGUCACCCCGCUUCGUUGAACUUAAUGGAAUAAGAUCAGAUCAGAAUAACCUUUGUAAACUAGGCAACUGAAUCAUUUCAUUGUUGCUUGUCCAUGUAACGAAGAACUAUCAUUUGGGUACCAAGUUCCACUUCAGGCCAGGAAAAUUUCUUAUAACUUCAAAACGGCAAGGGAUGCACCAUUGUCUUCAGGUCUGCCUUGCAGGUUGGAGUGCAGCUUUCAGAUAUCUUUCUUUCCUUGGGAUAGUUGGAAUGGAAUACUAUGACUAGAUAUACAAUGGUAUUGUUAUCAGUGUUCGGCCUUCAAUGAUUUCGGUGCAGCAUGUCUAGACCAUCAACGGCAAUUUGAGCUCCUUAGUGAAGUAGGUCUGUAAGGCGUUGCUUCAACUCAAGAAAAUCAAUGGCCACAAUUGGGAAGUUGACUGACAAUCCAAAGAGAGUGCCAAUUUUCAAUCUCGUGUUUAGGUGCUUACAUCAAUCUCGUGCAUAGUCUCGAUCACCACCACCGGGGCAGCUACUUCUGCUGGCAGGGGCUGGGCGCCGCCGUGAGGAUGCUAUCACCCAUGCACGCAGUGAUGGCAUGGUGGCCGAAGAAGGCCGUCUUCUGGGGAGCCGCGCGCUGGCCGCCAUCUCCACCCGCGGCCACACCAACAAGACAGGUGAUUUUAGGGUUGGUUCUGUCUGAAACCAAGCUAGCAGUAAUAUGCAGAGAAGGUUCGCCUGACAUAAUGACCAACGAGAGCAAGUUGUUUUUUCUUGAUGAAAAUGAUAGCUACCACUUGAUGAGAUUUAGCAAUACAAGCAUUUCCUCUAAUUUUAUUUGUCUGCAGGAGGUGCCUUUGAGAACUUGAUCAGCUACUCGAGCUUCAUUGUCAGCGAAGUCUCCACUGGGUUGCCCAGAUCUGUCCUGAAUUGCUUCAUUGAUGACAAUUUGGAGAAGGCUCCGCUGACACUUACAAAGGAUGUUUUCCUUUGUUGGAAAGACGAGGAUACGCUGGAGAUAGACAUGGGGUGGUAAGAAAAUGAUGAGUUCCUGAUGAUAUUAUGCUUGCUGGUCUAAACCUACAUGUAUUAUGUCAGUUUGUUGUUAAGAGUAUCUUGAAAAUAUAAAGCCACUGGGUGGCCAGGCAUUCUAUACUAUCGUCUUUCCAAGAGCCCACAUUUCUGCAUGUAUAUAUUUGUUGUACAGCCUAUGCUGGUUUGCCUACAAUAAUUAUCAGAAGGUAAUAUGCAGCAGCCAAAUUCUC
This 2506-nucleotide ribosomal RNA is filed under the name Triticum aestivum (bread wheat). RNAcentral describes it as "partial small subunit ribosomal RNA". Lineage: Eukaryota; Viridiplantae; Streptophyta; Magnoliopsida; Poales; Poaceae. The record is from RNAcentral.